GUUUGUGUGUUGCAUCUGAGCACGCUCGUGUCUCAGGUGUUUCAGUCGUGGGUUUUCUCCGGACUGUUUCAGUCCCCAGUGUUUGGGGCAUUUGUUGUGUGUGCGCCCUGUAUCUUAGUGGGGUGGCUUUUGUUCGCCGUUUGUGCAAAUAAAGCACUACCCUGUACUCUCUGCUUCCUGUGCCUGACUUCGCACCCACUACACCCAGAGCCUUACAGCCAGGUCUACUUAGUUUCAUUGUAAGUCAUGGGCCAAUGCUGAACAACAUCUUACUGAGUGUUGUGGUGGGAACAGGCUGUGUUUUAUGAAGAGGACUGCAGAAAGGAAAAUGGACUAGUACUUGACACCAAAUGGAUGUCAGAGUCUCUCGCACUCCUCUUUCUCUUCCUCUCUUCUAUCUCUCCUCCACUUGUCUAGGUCCUCCCAUCCCUAUCUUGGCGAGCAUGAGUCAGAGAUGAAUACUCAAAGGUUCAAAGCAAGCGGGAUGACUGCCGUGGAUCCUCUGUCCAAUCGUCAGCCAGUUAGUGGCGGCGGGCAUGACAGAAUGCUGACACCACAAUUUGAAGCAUCAUGGAGUUAUGGGAGCCUGAUGUUUUUUGUUUUGUUGGUGACGUCGGGUCUGGGUGCCGCUAUUGGAGGAGCCAUGGGUGCCUCAGCUGGCUCAUCGAGCUUCCAUGCCUUAGCUGGCUCGAGAGGUUUCCUUGCCUUGGUUGGCUCGGCAGGUUCCCAUCCCACGUCAUGCCUCAGCCGGCUCGUUGGGCUUCAACAACUCAGCCGGCUCAUCAGGCUCCCAUCCCAUGUCAUGUCUCAGCCAGUUCGUCGGGCUCCCACGCCUCAGCCGGCUCAUCAGGCUCCCAUCCUACGUCAUGCCUCAGCCGGCACAUCAGGCUCCCAUGCCUCGGCCGGCCCAUCAGGCUCGCCCAGGUGGGACGCCGGGUGGUGCCCCUAGAGGGGGGGGGUACUGUCAUGCCUGUUCCCGAUUCCCCUCUCUGGUGCUCAAGAGCACCAGGCUGCCCCUCAUUACACACACCCGUCACCAUCAUUACGCGCAUCUGCGCAAUAUUGGACUCACCUGGACUUUGUUGAUUGCCCCUCUAGAUCUGUCUGCUCCUCAGUUUGUUCCCUGUGUCAGCAUUAAUGUCGUUAUGUUUUCUUGUCCA
RNAcentral lists this long non-coding RNA (1160 nucleotides) under Salmo salar (Atlantic salmon). Its description in RNAcentral is "lncRNA (ENSSSAG00000112655.1)". Lineage: Eukaryota; Metazoa; Chordata; Actinopteri; Salmoniformes; Salmonidae. The record is from RNAcentral.